Helianthus annuus (common sunflower) is the source of this 916-nucleotide long non-coding RNA. RefSeq lists it as uncharacterized. The transcript is spliced from 2 exons. The record is from RefSeq and is a predicted model, not a curated record. Lineage: Eukaryota; Viridiplantae; Streptophyta; Magnoliopsida; Asterales; Asteraceae.
UCAUAACCCUAUAUCUAUCCACACUAGAUCUAAAUUCCGCCGUCAUCAACUAAUUGGUAUUACUAUGUUUUUACUUUGAUUUUGCAAUUAAUAUUAUUAGUAGCGUUUAAGGUUUAUGAAUCAGAUUUUGUUAUUAAUUGUGUUACAUAGGAACAAAGAUGAGGUUUACUAGGAUCUCUCGAGCAAACCUUGAAUGGCGUCUAAUCCAACGUCAUAUGUUUCAAGGGAAGUUGUUACUAUGACGUGUUCUUGAGCUUUAAACGGGAAGAUACCCGUAUCAUAUAUAUUCUGUCUUUCACCCCAAAAGUUUUCACACUUACAAGGAUGAUGAAAGGCCAAUUCGUUGGUUUUUCCAAAUCCAUUGAAGACUCAAAUUUGUCAACGUUUGAGUUUUUCGAGCUUGUGAAGAUUAUGGAGUGUCCAAGACAGGAUGAUAGAAAAAAAGUUGUCAAAAAUGGGCAUGAAGCUAAAUUCAUCCAAAAAUUUUGUUGAACGGAAUUUACUCAAGUUUCGUUGCAUUCUUUUGAAUGAUAUUCGCAUGAUAGGGAAGACAACUUUGGCCAAAUGAAAACGUAUUCGAGUUAUUGAGAAGACAACUUUGGCCAGUUAUACAAAAUAUAUAUGUUGAAAAAUAUACCGUACAAACGUUGCAAUGAUAAUUUUACUACAAGAAAACAAGAGAGAAACUCAACCAGUUAAAAGAGAGUUGAAGGAUCUGGGUAGACGUAAGUCAUCCAUGAGGUCAAACUCCUACUAGCUCUAUUGAUUUAACUCUGAAACAAUGUUUUUCUAAGUUUUUUUUAUCUAAAACGAAUAUUAGUGAUGUUUCAUGUAUAGUAGUGUUAUGACCCCAAAUCUUAUUGAAUGUAUGUUUCAAUGUAUUUUCCCCUUUUGAAAUGAGGCCAGUUUAUGUAAA